Molecule: ribosomal RNA, 269 nt
Filed under: uncultured bacterium
Lineage: Bacteria
Description: partial 16S ribosomal RNA
Rfam family: Bacterial small subunit ribosomal RNA
Source: RNAcentral
GUCCUGGCCUUAAACGAUGGAUGCUUGGUGUCUGGGGUUUUAUAGUCCCCGGGUGCCGUAGCUAACGCGUUAAGCAUCCCGCCUGGGGAGUACGGUCGCAAGACUGAAACUCAAAGGAAUUGACGGGGACCCGCACAAGCGGUGGAGCAUGUGGUUCAAUUCUACGCAACGCGAAGAACCUUACCUGGGCUAGAAUGCCUCUGACAACUCCAGAGAUGGAGCCUCUUAGGGAAACCUAGGCAGAGUGCAAGGUGCUGCAUGGCUGUCGU